Molecule: ribosomal RNA, 465 nt
Filed under: uncultured Klebsiella sp.
Lineage: Bacteria; Pseudomonadati; Pseudomonadota; Gammaproteobacteria; Enterobacterales; Enterobacteriaceae
Description: bacterial SSU rRNA
Rfam family: Bacterial small subunit ribosomal RNA
Source: RNAcentral
CCUACGGGUGGCUGCAGUGGGGAAUAUUGCACAAUGGGCGCAAGCCUGAUGCAGCCAUGCCGCGUGUGUGAAGAAGGCCUUCGGGUUGUAAAGCACUUUCAGCGGGGAGGAAGGCGGUGAGGUUAAUAAACUCAUCGAUUGACGUUACCCGCAGAAGAAGCACCGGCUAACUCCGUGCCAGCAGCCGCGGUAAUACGGAGGGUGCAAGCGUUAAUCGGAAUUACUGGGCGUAAAGCGCACGCAGGCGGUCUGUCAAGUCGGAUGUGAAAUCCCCGGGCUCAACCUGGGAACUGCAUUCGAAACUGGCAGGCUAGAGGCUUGUAGAGGGGGGUAGAAUUCCAGGUGUAGCGGUGAAAUGCGUAGAGAUCUGGAGGAAUACCGGUGGCGAAGGCGGCCCCCUGGACAAAGACUGACGCUCAGGUGCGAAAGCGUGGGGAGCAAGCCGGAUUAGAUACCCGAGUAGUC